RNAcentral lists this non-coding RNA (32 nucleotides) under Mus musculus (house mouse). The record is from RNAcentral. Lineage: Eukaryota; Metazoa; Chordata; Mammalia; Rodentia; Muridae.
UGAGAGAAGCCUGUGUUUAUUGUUCACAUUUU